GGAGAGGUGGCCGAGAGGCUGAUGGCAUCUGUUUGCUAAACAGAAUCGGGUUAUUCCGACGCAGGUUCAAAUCCUGUUCUCUCCGC
RNAcentral lists this transfer RNA (86 nucleotides) under Kamptonema sp. PCC 6506. RNAcentral's name for it is "tRNA-Ser". It matches the Rfam family "tRNA". From Rfam's summary of the family: Transfer RNA (tRNA) molecules are approximately 80 nucleotides in length. Their secondary structure includes four short double-helical elements and three loops (D, anti-codon, and T loops). The record is from RNAcentral. Lineage: Bacteria; Bacillati; Cyanobacteriota; Cyanophyceae; Oscillatoriales; Microcoleaceae.